Molecule: ribosomal RNA, 322 nt
Filed under: uncultured bacterium
Lineage: Bacteria
Description: bacterial SSU rRNA
Rfam family: Bacterial small subunit ribosomal RNA
Source: RNAcentral
AAUGAACGCUGGCGGCGUGGAUUAGGCAUGCAAGUCGAACGAGAAAGCUUCCUUCGGGGAGUGAGUACAGUGGCGAACUGGUUAGUAACAGGUGGGGAACGUACCUCGAAAACGGGGAUAACUAUUGGAAACAGUAGCUAAUACCCGAUGUGACUGCGGAGACUUCGGUUUCUGUCGUUAAAGAUGUUUCAUUUAUGUAAUGUUGAUUCGAGAUCGUCCCGCCCCCGAUUAGCUUGAUGGUAAGGUAAUGGCUUACCAUGGCUACGAUCGGUAGUUGAUCUGAGAGGAUGUUCAGCAACACUGGGACUGAGAUACGGCCCAG